UGCAUAUGUGUUGAGCAAUGUGACAUGACUUAAAAAAUUGCACUUUGCACUGUAAUCCAACUGAAAGAUCUGUGACAAACAUUUUCGAUGGUGAAUUGAAUCUACACCAGGACCAAGCUGGAAGUGUCACACAUGCUGAUGAGAACUUCAUCCAGGCGUCAUCAUCGGAAUGACUAAAUUCUUGGCAUCCGUCACUCCAGUCGUUGGAUGGAUGGAUUACCUUCUAGACCCCAAUAGUUAACCGGAUUCGCUUUUAAUCAAACACAUCUGGGUUAAAUGGGUUCCAAACAAUCAACGGAAAAUUCGAUCGUCCAUUUCUUCGGAAUACUUGUUUGCCAUCCCCUGGGUAAGACCAAACGCUGACAGUGCCAUCAUCAGAACCAGC
Daphnia pulicaria is the source of this 385-nucleotide long non-coding RNA. RefSeq lists it as uncharacterized. NCBI's taxonomy places the organism in Eukaryota, Metazoa, Arthropoda, Branchiopoda, Diplostraca, Daphniidae. The transcript is spliced from 3 exons. The record is from RefSeq and is a predicted model, not a curated record.